Molecule: ribosomal RNA, 263 nt
Filed under: uncultured bacterium
Lineage: Bacteria
Description: partial 16S ribosomal RNA
Rfam family: Bacterial small subunit ribosomal RNA
Source: RNAcentral
GUCCACGCCGUAAACGAUGUCGACUAGCCGUUGGGCCCUUAUAGGGUUUAGUGGCGCAGCUAACGCAUUAAGUCGACCGCCUGGGGAGUACGGCCGCAAGGUUAAAACUCAAAUGAAUUGACGGGGGCCCGCACAAGCGGUGGAGCAUGUGGUUUAAUUCGAUGCAACGCGAAGAACCUUACCUACCCUUGACAUCCAGAGAAUCUGUUAGAGAUAGCGGAGUGCCUUCGGGAGCUCUGAGACAGGUGCUGCAUGGCUGUCGU